UGUCUGAAUUUAUGAAAAUCAAAUAUCCAAUGAAGCAUUUUUCUAAAGGCAGAAGGAAUCUGGUCAGAGAAGAUGUCAAAACAACAGAAGUCACCCAAAAAGUGGAAGAAAUCUGUUCAGAGCAGAUGCUAAAAUAACAGAAGUCACGUAAAUGUCAUAAACGUAACAACUCUUCAAGAACUGAAAAUCACCUAGUGGAAGUAAACUUAACCAGUAGUGGAGAAAAAAAAUGGAAGCGUAAAUAAGGGACAACAAGUAUACACAUCACAGGUGUGGCUCGUCCAUUAAUUAAGUAAAUUACAUCUCAGCAUCCAUAAGGUCAUGUAUAAAAUUACUGGACAGGCCUGGUUGUUUAUAAUCACGACUAGCAUGGCUGCGAGAGGAGACCUCAGUGACUUUGAAAGAGGGGUGAUUGUUGGGGCGCGUUUGGCGGGAGCUACAGUGACCAAGACAGCUCAACUUACCGAUGUUUCACGAGCAACGGUGUCUAAGGUGAUGUCAGCAUGGAACUACGAGGGAAAGACGUCAUCAGCAAAGGGCAACAGUGGGUGGAAGCGCAUACUCCAGGAUCGUGAUGUCCGUGAAUUAAUUCAAACUUCAAAGCUAAAGAGGCGAUCAAUCGCAGAUCAAUUGACCGCAUAUUUCAACCUGGGGCGAGAGUAGUCAGUUUCAUCAAAAACGAUCCACUGAGAACUCUACAGAACGGGGUACCAUAGUCGUUGCUGUGC
Molecule: long non-coding RNA, 728 nt
Organism: Limulus polyphemus (Atlantic horseshoe crab)
Lineage: Eukaryota; Metazoa; Arthropoda; Merostomata; Xiphosura; Limulidae
Exons: 2
Source: RefSeq, a predicted model, not a curated record